This 497-nucleotide ribosomal RNA is filed under the name uncultured bacterium. RNAcentral describes it as "partial 16S ribosomal RNA". It matches the Rfam family "Bacterial small subunit ribosomal RNA", at positions 28 to 507 of the family's 1533-position model. The record is from RNAcentral.
GAUGAACGCUGGCGGCGUGCCUAAUACAUGCAAGUCGAGCGAACAGACGAGGAGCUUGCUCCUUCGACGUUAGCGGCGGACGGGUGAGUAACACGUAGGUAACCUACCUAUAAGACUGGGAUAACUUCGGGAAACCGGAGCUACUACCGGAUAAUAUUUCGAACCGCAUGGUUCGAUAGUGAAAGAUGGCUUUGCUAUCACUUAUAGAUGGACCUGCGCCGUAUUAGCUAGUUGGUAAGGUAACGGCUUACCAAGGCAACGAUACGUAGCCGACCUGAGAGGGUGAUCGGCCACACUGGAACUGAGACACGGUCCAGACUCCUACGGGAGGCAGCAGUAGGGAAUCUUCCGCAAUGGGCGAAAGCCUGACGGAGCAACGCCGCGUGAGUGAUGAAGGUCUUCGGAUCGUAAAACUCUGUUAUUAGGGAAGAACAAACGUGUAAGUAACUGUGCACGUCUUGACGGUACCUAAUCAGAAAGCCACGGCUAACUACGUG